Long non-coding RNA from Hyaena hyaena (striped hyena), 527 nucleotides. RefSeq lists it as uncharacterized. The transcript has 2 exons. The record is from RefSeq and is a predicted model, not a curated record. NCBI's taxonomy places the organism in Eukaryota, Metazoa, Chordata, Mammalia, Carnivora, Hyaenidae.
GCUUCCUGGCCAGCCUCAGGCCCCGGGUGGGGACGUCAAUCAGGAAAACUUCUGCCCCAUUCCCUACCCCCAGGGUAGUGAACACACACCAAGGCUGGGCUGUGUGGCCACGCCUGGGCAGCUCCCAGAGUCCAAGGGCUGAGAACAUACUUCCUCCCCUGCCUGUCUAGACUCUGUGGUUGCUUUCCUGGCAACCACACAGCAGGGGCUGUAGCUGCAUAAGAAGGCGACGUGGAGUCAUGGCCUGGAGAGGCGCCUUGGCGGACGGAACAUGUGAACAUGGGAACCGGAGAACAUGACUUGCUUCUCUAGGGGCCUUGCUAUCAGGCGGCCUUCUCCGUGAGGGUCUCCACGCUGAUCCACGUGCCCAGGUUCUCCCCUCUGCCUGGGGGUCUCUGUAAACACCUGCGUUACUAAUUUCCCUGGGUUUUUAACCACCUUCUGUGAAAUGAACAUCCGUUCCACUUCCUUUUGGGGGUGUCGGGUAAAAACUGUCAUUGUAAGCACUUAAUACACUUGCAAAAUAA